AGCAGCCGCGGUAAUUCCAGCUCCAAUAGCGUAUAUUAAAGUUGUUGCAGUUAAAAAGCUCGUAGUUGAAUUUCGGGGUUAGUAGGUCGGUCGUGCCUCGGUACGCACUGGUGACAUUGGUUUCUACCUUCUGAGGAACCUUGAUGUCAUUAAUUUGGUGUCUUGGGGAAUCAGGACUGUUACUUUGAAAAAAUUAGAGUGUUUAAAGCAGGCUCACGCUUGAAUACAUUAGCAUGGAAUAAUGAAAUAGGACGUUUGAUUCUAUUUUGUUGGUUUCUAGGAUCGACGUAAUGAUUAAUAGGGAUAGUUGGGGGCAUUAGUAUUCAAUUGUCAGAGGUGAAAUUCUUGGAUUUAUUGAAGACUAACUACUGCGAAAGCAUUUGCCAAGGAUGUUUUCAUUAAUCAAGAACGAAAGUUAGGGGAUCGAAGACGAUCAGAUACCGUCGUAGUCUUAACCAUAAACUAUGCCGACUAGGGAUCGGAUGAUGUUAAUUUUUUAAUGACUCAUUCGGCGCCUUAC
This 520-nucleotide ribosomal RNA is filed under the name uncultured Glomus. RNAcentral describes it as "SSU rRNA". It matches the Rfam family "Eukaryotic small subunit ribosomal RNA", at positions 569 to 1091 of the family's 1831-position model. The record is from RNAcentral. Lineage: Eukaryota; Fungi; Glomeromycota; Glomeromycetes; Glomerales; Glomeraceae.